AUUGAUGGUAAAUCAAGUGAACUUUAUAUUAUUCGAGAUUUUCAAGCUCAUUUCUAAUGCAUUCACAUAUUUGGCGAACAAUUGUGACGUUAUGAGGUGCAGAAAAUAGUCGGCGUCAGUGUUGGACCGCUAAUAAUACGCAGUGUUGUGGUGUGUGUGUGAUGUGCAUUGCACGAACACAGUGACCGUUUUGGACGUUGUCAAUAUAAAAAAGAGCAUACGAUGGUGGGAAGUCGGCCAUUUCUAACUGGUGUGUGAAGCGGAGCAGACGUUUCGUGCGUGAGGUUCUGCGAGCAUUGCCGCGCGGGCGCCGGGUGUGUCUCCCGGUAGCACCCCCGGUUGUUACUGGAAGGGCGUUGCUGCUGCAGUGGCGGCAGCUGUGCGUAGCUUGGCUGGCGUGUAGCAAACCGGCAUCGCAGUUCAGUUGGCCCUCGGAUGCGGUCAACGGAGCACGGUUGUUGCAACAAAAUGGCUGCCGUCUGGUGAAAAACGUGCGCGGCAAAGCGUUGGCGUUAUUUCCGUUGAUGGCGUCAUGUCGGCCUGCUGCAAGGUUAGAAAAUCAGUGCGUGUGUCGGGACCGGUUUCACCAGCACGGAACCAGCGGCCGUUAGACUUAAAAACUAGAAAAUGUGUUCUCAUUGACGUUCAGCAUGGACCACCGUAAGGAAACGAUCCAUCGCGUCGCAUACUUCCCCAUCAACGUGCGUUGCAACCGCGUGGCUCGUCUCUGUUCGUGCUGAAGCGGCUCAUGUUCCCGGUAUUUGAAGCUGGCGGCGGAGACGCGCUGGUACGCGGUGUGAAAACCAUGGUUAACGAAUACACCAACACCACGGCACUUCUUAUUCAUACAUGCGCAUAAGUCAAUGUGUGUGUGUGUGUGUGUGGGUAUAAAUCAUCGCGAUUUACGCCUAGGAGUGGAUCGCAAUCGGGAGAGCGAAAGAGAUGCAGUAAAAGACCGACUAUUCGGCUUUUUCAGCACUAAGUCUCAGCAGCUCUUCUUUCUUCAGGCCGAUCGCAUGGAAAGGCGUUCAGGCUGAAAAGAUCUGUUAAACAACCACCUAAAUUUCGGAUGUAACAUCUAGUAUAAAACCUUACACCAUUGUGAAUAAGGUACACUGAUACAGCAUCAGCCCCUUAGCGGAUAGUGACCAGCAAUUGCAUUGACGCCAUUGUGGAUUAGGUAUGUCACUAUAGCAUCAGUGCCAUUGUGGAUGCGAUGCGGCUAUACAGCGUCAGCUCCAUCAUGUAAGCUGUGCGGCGAAAGUGGCACCUCUUUAUUCUAAUUCCCUCAAACAACCACUAAAAUUUCGGAUAUUAUUCAAAGCCUAAAUCAUUGAGGUCGUCCGUUGUAGUAGGAAGUUUUGCGAUACAUUAAACAACCACUCAAAUUUCGGAUGUUAACAUGUGAUAUGCAUUGGCAAUCGCACUCUGAUACUUAAACAUCGGGUAACCGAGAAAAACCCGCUUAAUCGUAAAAGAUCUUUGUUCGUGUAGUUCGAAAUCGUAAUCCAUAUGCCACUUGGAUGUAUGGAUGUUAACUUAGCGAAAUGUUUUUAAGUGGCGACCUGCCAAGGAACGUAGAAUGUAAUAAACGCGGAAAUUAAAUUUCAUGCGCUGCAUGGGAGAAAGAGAUCAAA
This is a long non-coding RNA of Anopheles merus, 1637 nucleotides long. RefSeq lists it as uncharacterized. Lineage: Eukaryota; Metazoa; Arthropoda; Insecta; Diptera; Culicidae. The transcript has 2 exons. The record is from RefSeq and is a predicted model, not a curated record.